UAAGUUUGGAAUCGAUAUCCAUACAACAGCCUUUGUCGUCUUCUCCAUUACAUUAAAAUCAAUAGACCAUGGAUAUACUCUAAUUUGGUGAUCCCAUCCAUUGUGAUUAAAGUACAGAACUGACCUCGCAAGUGAUGUACAAAAAAUCGUCAAAUUGAUCCAUCCUGAUAAGAAUCUGUCUUGGUGCAAGUUGCCCGAUCAAAGCUUGUCCUUUAAUUGCAAGGAUUUUUGGCAGUAGGUUCCUCAAGAUUGAUAACUCCAUCUUGUUUGAAGAUAGUUUCACCCCAAUAGCUUGAUGCAGUCCCUCCUCUUUUGCAU
RNAcentral lists this long non-coding RNA (318 nucleotides) under Nicotiana benthamiana. RNAcentral's name for it is "long non-coding RNA (NBEN_LNC027694)". The record is from RNAcentral. Lineage: Eukaryota; Viridiplantae; Streptophyta; Magnoliopsida; Solanales; Solanaceae.